This 70-nucleotide transfer RNA is filed under the name Protopterus annectens (West African lungfish). RNAcentral's name for it is "tRNA-Trp". It matches the Rfam family "tRNA". From Rfam's summary of the family: Transfer RNA (tRNA) molecules are approximately 80 nucleotides in length. Their secondary structure includes four short double-helical elements and three loops (D, anti-codon, and T loops). Lineage: Eukaryota; Metazoa; Chordata; Ceratodontiformes; Protopteridae. The record is from RNAcentral.
AGGAACUUAGGCUAAUUUAAACCAAAAGCCUUCAAAGCUUUAAAUAAAAGUGAGAAUCUUUUAGUUCCUG